UACGUAGGGUGCAAGCGUUAAUCGGAAUUACUGGGCGUAAAGCGUGCGCAGGCGGUUUUGUAAGUCUGACGUGAAAUCCCCGGGCUCAACCUGGGAAUUGCGUUGGAGACUGCAAGGCUGGAGUCUGGCAGAGGGGGGUAGAAUUCCACGUGUAGCAGUGAAAUGCGUAGAGAUGUGGAGGAACACCGAUGGCGAAGGCAGCCCCCUGGGUCAAGACUGACGCUCAUGCACGAAAGCGUGGGGAGCAAAC
This 250-nucleotide ribosomal RNA is filed under the name uncultured bacterium. RNAcentral describes it as "partial 16S ribosomal RNA". It matches the Rfam family "Bacterial small subunit ribosomal RNA", at positions 524 to 773 of the family's 1533-position model. The record is from RNAcentral. RNAcentral also lists the same sequence under 1 other name.